Pelobates cultripes (western spadefoot toad) is the source of this 304-nucleotide non-coding RNA. The record is from the annotation of a GenBank genome assembly. Lineage: Eukaryota; Metazoa; Chordata; Amphibia; Anura; Pelobatidae.
CACAGGUGCAGUGUGUGCCACAGGCAAUCAGAAUUGACAUCUGUAAUGCAGGAAAUGUUGGCCACAUCAUACCUGUGCUUGCAAUGUCUGCGUCAAUAUGGUUACUGUGCAAUGCUAGAAAUGCCUGUGCUUCCAUCUACCAGGGGGACACAGAGUUACAGAUAAGGGAAACACUCCGCAGACAUGAUGACUCCUGAAGAUUCCCAUGCAGUGUGUUGUAUAUAAAGUUUGGAGCUUUAUAAUGGAAAUCUACCUUCUUUGGGAGAUUUAUGAUUUUAAAUAUCUACAUACCCAUAUGCCUGCC